UUUGUCCACUAAUUAUGGACCAGUAUGAAAGGCCACAUGAGAUUCUAACUGUCUCUUGUAACCAAUUUAUAAAACUGAUCUUCUAGUACAAAAGCUAGAAUACUCCUAUAAGACGAGAAGACCCUGUGAAGCUUAAAAAACCCCAUUAAACAGACUAGUGGGUAUUUUUAGUUGGGGCAACUUUGGAAAACAACUUAACUUCCAAAAAAGGGGGGGGCCCCACUAAGACCUACAAGUCAAACAAGACCCAGUAUAACUGAUAAAUGAACCAAGUUACUCCAGGGAUAACAGCGCAAUCUUCUUCAAGAGCCCAUAUCAAAAAGAAGGUUUACGACCUCGAUGUUGGAUCAGGACACCCAAAUGGCGCAGCCGCUAUUAAAGGUUCGUUUGUUCAACGAUUAACAGU
Molecule: ribosomal RNA, 406 nt
Filed under: Cubatyphlops biminiensis (Bahaman slender blindsnake)
Lineage: Eukaryota; Metazoa; Chordata; Lepidosauria; Squamata; Typhlopidae
Description: partial 16S ribosomal RNA
Rfam family: Bacterial large subunit ribosomal RNA
Source: RNAcentral